UUGUCCCUGCCGUGUUCGUGACCUGGCCAUACAUUCUCUAACCAAUGCUUAAUUGGCAUCAGGUUGUGCGAUUUGCGUAGCUGGCGCGUCCGUCUCUCGUAGAUGGACCCAAGGUUUCGCUUAGCACGACCGACUUGAACUUCGGUUUGAGAUGCCGGCCUAGACGGCACAGGCGGGGCUUUU
Molecule: non-coding RNA, 183 nt
Filed under: Schauerella fraxinea
Lineage: Bacteria; Pseudomonadati; Pseudomonadota; Betaproteobacteria; Burkholderiales; Alcaligenaceae
Description: 6S RNA
Rfam family: 6S / SsrS RNA
About the family: E. coli 6S RNA was the first non coding RNA to be sequenced, but its function was unknown until recently. It consists of 184 nucleotides that fold into an extended hairpin structure with a large single-stranded internal bulge.
Source: RNAcentral